Molecule: ribosomal RNA, 600 nt
Filed under: Pseudomonas putida
Lineage: Bacteria; Pseudomonadati; Pseudomonadota; Gammaproteobacteria; Pseudomonadales; Pseudomonadaceae
Description: bacterial SSU rRNA
Rfam family: Bacterial small subunit ribosomal RNA
Source: RNAcentral
UGCUCCUUGAUUCAGCGGCGGACGGGUGAGUAAUGCCUAGGAAUCUGCCUGGUAGUGGGGGACAACGUUUCGAAAGGAACGCUAAUACCGCAUACGUCCUACGGGAGAAAGCAGGGGACCUUCGGGCCUUGCGCUAUCAGAUGAGCCUAGGUCGGAUUAGCUAGUUGGUGGGGUAAUGGCUCACCAAGGCGACGAUCCGUAACUGGUCUGAGAGGAUGAUCAGUCACACUGGAACUGAGACACGGUCCAGACUCCUACGGGAGGCAGCAGUGGGGAAUAUUGGACAAUGGGCGAAAGCCUGAUCCAGCCAUGCCGCGUGUGUGAAGAAGGUCUUCGGAUUGUAAAGCACUUUAAGUUGGGAGGAAGGGCAGUAAGCUAAUACCUUGCUGUUUUGACGUUACCGACAGAAUAAGCACCGGCUAACUCUGUGCCAGCAGCCGCGGUAAUACAGAGGGUGCAAGCGUUAAUCGGAAUUACUGGGCGUAAAGCGCGCGUAGGUGGUUUGUUAAGUUGGAUGUGAAAGCCCCGGGCUCAACCUGGGAACUGCAUCCAAAACUGGCAAGCUAGAGUACGGUAGAGGGUGGUGGAAUUUCCUGUGUA